RNAcentral lists this ribosomal RNA (429 nucleotides) under Gemmatimonadota bacterium. RNAcentral describes it as "Gemmatimonadetes bacterium partial 16S ribosomal RNA". It matches the Rfam family "Bacterial small subunit ribosomal RNA", at positions 355 to 776 of the family's 1533-position model. The record is from RNAcentral. Lineage: Bacteria; Pseudomonadati; Gemmatimonadota.
UAGGGAAUCUUCGGCAAUGGACGAAAGUCUGACCGAGCAACGCCGCGUGAGUGAAGAAGGUUUUCGGAUCGUAAAACUCUGUUGUUAGAGAAGAACAAGGACGUUAGUAACUGAACGUCCCCUGACGGUAUCUAACCAGAAAGCCACGGCUAACUACGUGCCAGCAGCCGCGGUAAUACGUAGGUGGCAAGCGUUGUCCGGAUUUAUUGGGCGUAAAGCGAGCGCAGGCGGUUUCUUAAGUCUGAUGUGAAAGCCCCCGGCUCAACCGGGGAGGGUCAUUGGAAACGGGGAGACUUGGGUGCAGAAGGGGAGAGUGGAAUUCCAUGUGUAGCGGUGAAAUGCGUAGAUAUAUGGAGGAACACCAGUGGCGAAGGCGGCUCUCUGGUCUGUAACUGACGCUGAGGCUCGAAAGCGUGGGGAGCAAACAGG